GCAUUGGUGGUUCAGUGGUAGAAUUCUUGUCUUUCCUGCAGAAGACCUAGGUUUGAUUCCUGGCCAACACA
RNAcentral lists this transfer RNA (71 nucleotides) under Loxodonta africana (African savanna elephant). It matches the Rfam family "tRNA". Rfam says of the family: Transfer RNA (tRNA) molecules are approximately 80 nucleotides in length. The record is from Rfam by way of RNAcentral. Lineage: Eukaryota; Metazoa; Chordata; Mammalia; Proboscidea; Elephantidae.